RNAcentral lists this transfer RNA (76 nucleotides) under Candidatus Yanofskybacteria bacterium CG10_big_fil_rev_8_21_14_0_10_46_23. Its description in RNAcentral is "tRNA-Thr". It matches the Rfam family "tRNA". Rfam says of the family: Transfer RNA (tRNA) molecules are approximately 80 nucleotides in length. Their secondary structure includes four short double-helical elements and three loops (D, anti-codon, and T loops). Lineage: Bacteria; Candidatus Yanofskyibacteriota. The record is from RNAcentral.
GCCGAUGUAGCUCAGUUGGUAGAGCAAUACUUUCGUAAAGUAGAGGUCGUCGGUUCGAAUCCGACCAUCGGCUCCA